This 278-nucleotide ribosomal RNA is filed under the name uncultured eukaryote. RNAcentral describes it as "partial 18S ribosomal RNA". It matches the Rfam family "Eukaryotic small subunit ribosomal RNA", at positions 21 to 298 of the family's 1831-position model. The record is from RNAcentral.
UAGUCAUAUGCUUGUCUCAAAGAUUAAGCCAUGCAUGUCUAAGUAUAAACAUCUUUAUACAGUGAAACUGCGUACAGCUCAUUAUAUCAGUUAUUAUUUAUUUGAUGGUACCUUACUACAUGGAUACCCGUAGUAACUCUAGAGCUAAUACAUGCGUCAAGUCCCGACUUUUUGGAAGGGAUGUAUUUAUUAGAUAAAAAACCAAUGCAGGCAACUGCUCUCUUGGUGAUUCAUAGUAACUUUUCGGAUCGCACGGCUUCACGUCGGCGACAGUUCAU